This 466-nucleotide ribosomal RNA is filed under the name uncultured bacterium. RNAcentral describes it as "partial 16S ribosomal RNA". It matches the Rfam family "Bacterial small subunit ribosomal RNA", at positions 28 to 507 of the family's 1533-position model. The record is from RNAcentral.
GACGAACGCUGGCGGCGCGCCUAACACAUGCAAGUCGAACGAGCGAGAGAGAGCUUGCUUUCUUGAGCGAGUGGCGAACGGGUGAGUAACGCGUGAGGAACCUGCCUCAAAGAGGGGGACAACAGUUGGAAACGACUGCUAAUACCGCAUAAGCCCACGGUGCCGCAUGGCACAGAGGGAAAAGGAGCAAUCCGCUUUGAGAUGGCCUCGCGUCCGAUUAGCUAGUUGGUGAGGUAACGGCCCACAAAGGCGACGAUCGGUAGCCGGACUGAGAGGUUGAACGGCCACAUUGGGACUGAGACACGGCCCAGACUCCUACGGGAGGCAGCAGUGGGGAAUAUUGCACAAUGGGGGAAACCCUGAUGCAGCGAGGCCGCGUGGAGGAAGAAGGUCUUCGGAUUGUAAACUCCUGUUGUUGGGGAAGAUAAUGACGGUACCCAACAAGGAAGUGACGGCUAACUACGUG